This 322-nucleotide ribosomal RNA is filed under the name uncultured Pseudomonas sp. Its description in RNAcentral is "bacterial SSU rRNA". It matches the Rfam family "Bacterial small subunit ribosomal RNA", at positions 1062 to 1382 of the family's 1533-position model. Lineage: Bacteria; Pseudomonadati; Pseudomonadota; Gammaproteobacteria; Pseudomonadales; Pseudomonadaceae. The record is from RNAcentral.
GUGUCGUGAGAUGUUGGGUUAAGUCCCGUAACGAGCGCAACCCUUGUCCUUAGUUACCAGCACGUUAUGGUGGGCACUCUAAGGAGACUGCCGGUGGACAAACCGGAGGAAGGUGGGGAUGACGUCAAGUCAUCAUGGCCCUUACGGCCUGGGCUACACACGUGCUACAAUGGUCGGUACAAAGGGUUGCCAAGCCGCGAGGUGGAGCUAAUCCCAUAAAACCGAUCGUAGUCCGGAUCGCAGUCUGCAACUCGACUGCGUGAAGUCGGAAUCGCUAGUAAUCGUGAAUCAGAAUGUCACGGUGAAUACGUUCCCGGGCCUU